CGAGUUGGCCGGGUGAUCGCGGCGCGCAAGCGUCGAGGAAAGUCCGGACUCCACAGGGCACGGUGGUGGGUAACGCCCACCCGGGGUGACCCGCGGGACAGUGCCACAGAGAGCAGACCGCCUCGAGCGAUCGAGGUAAGGGUGAAAGGGCGGUGUAAGAGACCACCAGCGCGGCAGGUGACUGCCGUGGCUCGGCAAACCCCACCGGGAGCAAGGUCAAGUGGGCCGGUCCGCCGGCCUUGGUGGAUGAGUGACCCGCUCGCAAUCCACUGGUAGACCGCAUCAGGGUGCUGGCAACAGCACUCGCAGAUGGAUGAUCACCGAAUCGUCACCGCGAGGUGGCGAGGAACAGAAUCCGGCUUACAGGCCGACUCGUCCC
Molecule: RNase P RNA, 379 nt
Filed under: Rubrivirga sp.
Lineage: Bacteria; Pseudomonadati; Rhodothermota; Rhodothermia; Rhodothermales; Rubricoccaceae
Description: RNase P RNA component class A
Rfam family: Bacterial RNase P class A
About the family: Ribonuclease P (RNase P) is a ubiquitous endoribonuclease, found in archaea, bacteria and eukarya as well as chloroplasts and mitochondria. Its best characterised activity is the generation of mature 5'-ends of tRNAs by cleaving the 5'-leader elements of precursor-tRNAs. Cellular RNase Ps are ribonucleoproteins.
Source: RNAcentral